Molecule: ribosomal RNA, 508 nt
Filed under: uncultured bacterium
Lineage: Bacteria
Description: partial 16S ribosomal RNA
Rfam family: Bacterial small subunit ribosomal RNA
Source: RNAcentral
GACGAACGCUGGCGGCGUGCCUAAUACAUGCAAGUCGAACGCUUCUUUCCUCCCGAGUGCUUGCACUCAAUUGGAAAGAGGAGUGGCGGACGGGUGAGUAACACGUGGGUAACCUACCCAUCAGAGGGGGAUAACACUUGGAAACAGGUGCUAAUACCGCAUAACAGUUUAUGCCGCAUGGCAUAAGAGUGAAAGGCGCUUUCGGGUGUCGCUGAUGGAUGGACCCGCGGUGCAUUAGCUAGUUGGUGAGGUAACGGCUCACCAAGGCCACGAUGCAUAGCCAACCUGAGAGGGUGAUCGGCCACACUGGGACUGAGACACGGCCCAGACUCCUACGGGAGGCAGCAGUAGGGAAUCUUCGGCAAUGGACGAAAGUCUGACCGAGCAACGCCGCGUGAGUGAAGAAGGUUUUCGGAUCGUAAAACUCUGUUGUUAGAGAAGAACAAGGACGUUAGUAACUGAACGUCCCCUGACGGUAUCUAACCAGAAAGACACGGCUAACUACGUG